UUGGAGGGCAAGUCUGGUGCCAGCAGCCGCGGUAAUUCCAGCUCCAAUAGCGUAUAUUAAAGUUGUUGCAGUUAAAAAGCUCGUAGUUGAAUUUCGGGGUCAGUAGGUUGGUCAUGCCACUGGUAUGUACUGGUCUUACUGAUUCCUCCUUCCUGAUGAGCUGUAAUGCCAUUAAUUUGGUGUUGCGGGGAAUCUGGACUGUUACUUUGAAAAAAUUAGAGUGUUUAAAGCAGGCUAACGCCUGAAUACAUUAGCAUGGAAUAAUGAAAUAGGACGUUCGAUCCUAUUUUGUUGGUUUCUAGGAUUGACGUAAUGAUUAAUAGGGAUAGUUGGGGGCAUUAGUAUUCAAUUGUCAGAGGUGAAAUUCUUGGAUUUAUUGAAGACUAACUACUGCGAAAGCAUUUGCCAAGGAUGUUUCCAUUAAUCAAGAACGAAAGUUAGGGGAUCGAAGACGAUCAGAUACCGUCGUAGUCUUAACCAUAAACUAUGCCGACUAGGGAUCGGAUGAUGUUAAUUUUUUAAUGACUCAUUCGGCGCCUUACGGGAAAC
Molecule: ribosomal RNA, 549 nt
Filed under: uncultured Glomeraceae
Lineage: Eukaryota; Fungi; Glomeromycota; Glomeromycetes; Glomerales; Glomeraceae
Description: SSU rRNA
Rfam family: Eukaryotic small subunit ribosomal RNA
Source: RNAcentral